GAGUUUGAUCCUGGCUCAGAUUGAACGCUGGCGGCAUGCCUUACACAUGCAAGUCGAACGGCAGCACGGGAGCUUGCUCCUGGUGGGCGAGUGGCGAACGGGUGAGUAAUGCAUCGGAACGUAUCCUGGAGUGGGGGGAUAACGUAGCGAAAGUUACGCUAAUACCGCAUAUUCUGUGAGCAGGAAAGCGGGGGACCUUCGGGCCUCGCGCUCUUGGAGCGGCCGAUGUCGGAUUAGCUAGUUGGUGAGGUAAAGGCUCACCAAGGCGACGAUCCGUAGCAGGUCUGAGAGGAUGAUCUGCCACACUGGAACUGAGACACGGUCCAGACUCCUACGGGAGGCAGCAGUGGGGAAUUUUGGACAAUGGGGGCAACCCUGAUCCAGCCAUGCCGCGUGAGUGAAGAAGGCCUCGG
Molecule: ribosomal RNA, 413 nt
Filed under: bacterium enrichment culture clone ALO1_GLFRUDD03HJI3M
Lineage: Bacteria
Description: bacterial SSU rRNA
Rfam family: Bacterial small subunit ribosomal RNA
Source: RNAcentral